Molecule: ribosomal RNA, 465 nt
Filed under: uncultured bacterium
Lineage: Bacteria
Description: partial 16S ribosomal RNA
Rfam family: Bacterial small subunit ribosomal RNA
Source: RNAcentral
GACGAACGCUGGCGGCGUGCUUAACACAUGCAAGUCGAGCGGUAAGGCCCCUUCGGGGGUACACGAGCGGCGAACGGGUGAGUAACACGUGAGCAAUCUGCCCAUCACAUCGGGAUAACUCCGGGAAACCGAAGCUAAUACCGAAUACGACCACCUCCGGCAUCGGAUGGUGGUGGAAAGUUCCGGCGGUGAGGGAUGAGCUCGCGGCCUAUCAGCUUGUUGGUGGGGUAACGGCCCACCAAGGCUUCGACGGGUAGCCGGCCUGAGAGGGUGACCGGCCACACUGGGACUGAGACACGGCCCAGACUCCUACGGGAGGCAGCAGUGGGGAAUAUUGGACAAUGGGCGAAAGCCUGAUCCAGCAACGCCGCGUGAGGGAUGACGGCCUUCGGGUUGUAAACCUCUUUCAGCAGGGACGAAGCGCAAGUGACGGUACCUGCAGAAGAAGCACCGGCCAACUACGUG